GAAAUGCGAUAAGUAAUGUAAAUUGCAGAAUUCAGUGAAUCAUCGAAUCUUUGAACGCACCUUGCGCUCCUUGGUAUUCCUUGGAGCAUGCCUGUUUGAGUAUCAUGAAAUCUUCAAAGUAAAUCUUUUGUUAACUCAAUUGGUUUCUACUUUGGUAUUGGAGGUCUUUGCAGCUUCACACCUGCUCCUCUUUGUUCAUUAGCUGGAUCUCAGUGUUAUGCUUGGUUCCACUCGGCGUGAUAAGUUAUCUAUCGCUGAGGACACUGUAAAAGGUGGCCAAGGUAAAUGCAGAUGAACCGCUUCUAAUAAUCCAUUGACUUGGACAAUACUUUUAUGAUCUGAUCUCAAAUCAGGUAGGACUACCCGCUGAACUUAAGC
RNAcentral lists this unclassified non-coding RNA (378 nucleotides) under plant metagenome. Its description in RNAcentral is "partial contains 5.8S ribosomal RNA, internal transcribed spacer 2, and large subunit ribosomal RNA". The stretch from base 1 to 105 matches the Rfam family "5.8S ribosomal RNA", at positions 50 to 154 of the family's 154-position model. The record is from RNAcentral.